Molecule: ribosomal RNA, 265 nt
Filed under: uncultured bacterium
Lineage: Bacteria
Description: partial 16S ribosomal RNA
Rfam family: Bacterial small subunit ribosomal RNA
Source: RNAcentral
UACUUAGUGGCGGACGGGUGAGUAACGCGUGGGCAACCUGCCCCGUGCCGGGGGAUACCGCCUGGAAACAGGCGCUAAUACCGCAUAAGCGCAUACAGCCGCAUGGCAGUAUGCGGAAAGCUCCGGCGGCACGGGAUGGGCCCGCGCCCGAUUAGCCAGUUGGCGGGGUAACGGCCCACCAAAGCGACGAUCGGUAGCCGGCCUGAGAGGGUGGACGGCCACAUUGGGACUGAGACACGGCCCAAACUCCUACGGGAGGCAGCAG